GGCGACGUACCCAAGUGGUUAAGGGGAGGGACUGCAAAUCCUUUAUGCAUCGGUUCGAAUCCGAUCGUCGCCUCCA
This 76-nucleotide transfer RNA is filed under the name bacterium. RNAcentral describes it as "tRNA-Cys". It matches the Rfam family "tRNA". From Rfam's summary of the family: Transfer RNA (tRNA) molecules are approximately 80 nucleotides in length. Their secondary structure includes four short double-helical elements and three loops (D, anti-codon, and T loops). Further hydrogen bonds mediate the characteristic L-shaped molecular structure. tRNAs have two regions of fundamental functional importance: the anti-codon, which is responsible for specific mRNA codon recognition, and the 3' end, to which the tRNAs corresponding amino acid is attached (by aminoacyl-tRNA synthetases). tRNAs cope with the degeneracy of the genetic code in two manners: having more than one tRNA (with a specific anti-codon) for a particular amino acid; and 'wobble' base-pairing, i.e. permitting non-standard base-pairing at the 3rd anti-codon position. The record is from RNAcentral. RNAcentral also lists the same sequence under 2 other names.